UACAGAGGUCCCAAGCGUUGUUCGGAUUCACUGGGCGUAAAGGGUGCGUAGGCGGCGAGGUAAGUCGGAUGUGAAAUCUCCAAGCUCAACUUGGAAAUGGCAUUGGAAACUGCCCUGCUAGAGGAUCGGGGGGGGGACUGGAAUACUCGGUGUAGCAGUGAAAUGCGUAGAUAUCAAGUGGAACACCAGUGGCGAAUGCGAGUCCCUGGACGAUACCUGACACUGAGGCACGAAAGCUAGGGGAGCAAACAGG
RNAcentral lists this ribosomal RNA (253 nucleotides) under uncultured bacterium. RNAcentral's name for it is "partial 16S ribosomal RNA". It matches the Rfam family "Bacterial small subunit ribosomal RNA", at positions 524 to 776 of the family's 1533-position model. The record is from RNAcentral.